GGCCGCCAAAGGACCUUCAAACUCCAGUCAGUAAACGCAGACGUCUGAUAAACAAGUUAAUAAACUAAAACUUUCAACAACGGAUCUCUUGGUUCUGGCAUCGAUGAAGAACGCAGCGAAAUGCGAUAAGUAAUGUGAAUUGCAGAAUUCAGUGAAUCAUCGAAUCUUUGAACGCACAUUGCGCCCCUUGGUAUUCCGGGGGGCAUGCCUGUUCGAGCGUCAUUAGAACCCUCAAGCUCUGCUUGGAAUUGGGCACCGUCCUCACUGCGGACGCGCCUCAAAGACCUCGGCGGUGGCUGUUCAGCCCUCAAGCGUAGUAGAAUACACCUCGCUUGGAGCGGUUGGCGUCGCCCGCCGGACGAACCUUCUGAACUUUCUCAAGGUGACCUCGAUCA
Molecule: ribosomal RNA, 395 nt
Filed under: Lasiodiplodia theobromae
Lineage: Eukaryota; Fungi; Ascomycota; Dothideomycetes; Botryosphaeriales; Botryosphaeriaceae
Description: eukaryotic LSU rRNA
Rfam family: 5.8S ribosomal RNA (bases 69-222)
Source: RNAcentral